This 26-nucleotide non-coding RNA is filed under the name Homo sapiens (human). Lineage: Eukaryota; Metazoa; Chordata; Mammalia; Primates; Hominidae. The record is from RNAcentral.
UGAGCGGUGAGACGAACAAAAGGGAA